This is a microRNA precursor of Oryza sativa Japonica Group (Japanese rice), 275 nucleotides long. It matches the Rfam family "MIR821 microRNA precursor family". NCBI's taxonomy places the organism in Eukaryota, Viridiplantae, Streptophyta, Magnoliopsida, Poales, Poaceae. The record is from Rfam.
GAUAUCAACUGAAAAAGUCAUCAACAACAAAGUUGAAUAACUCAUCAAGAUCUAAAACUUUUAUUUUGGUCAUUUCUUCAUACGAUAAAGUGAUAGUAACAUUGUUCACAAAAUUGACAUAUCUCUUAUCUGGUUUUAUAAACUAUAACACAUAUAUGUAAAAUUUCUGAAUAAUAUUACUAACAUUUCGUCAGAUGAAGAAAUAACAAAAAUAAAAGUUUUAGAUCUUGAUGAGUUAUUCAACUUUGUUGUUGAUGACUUUUUCAAUUGAAAUC